CUGCACUGAUGAUCGUAGAUGUGACUGACCUGGUAUUGCUGGCCUCUGGGUCAACUCUGACUGGGAAAUGACCUCAGUUAAUCUUCUCUCUGAGCAG
This is a small nucleolar RNA of Lates calcarifer (barramundi perch), 97 nucleotides long. NCBI's taxonomy places the organism in Eukaryota, Metazoa, Chordata, Actinopteri, Centropomidae. The record is from Ensembl.